UGAGGAAUAUUGGUCAAUGGGCGCAAGCCUGAACCAGCCAUCCCGCGUGCAGGAAGACGGCGCUAUGCGUUGUAAACUGCUUUUCCAGGGGGAGAAACUUGCGCACGUGUUGCGCAAUUGACGGUACCCUGGGAAUAAGCAUCGGCUAACUCCGUGCCAGCAGCCGCGGUAAUACGGAGGAUGCGAGCGUUAUCCGGAUUCAUUGGGUUUAAAGGGUGCGUAGGCGGACUAUUAAGUCAGUGGUGAAAUCCUGCAGCUUAACUGCAGAACUGACAUUGAUACUGAUAGACUUGAGUUUGGUUAAGGUAGGAGGAAUGAGUGAUGUAGCGGUGAACUGCUUAGAGAUUACACAGAACACCAAUUGAGGAGGCAGCUUACUGAGCCGACACUGCCGCUGAGGUACGAAAGCGUGG
RNAcentral lists this ribosomal RNA (413 nucleotides) under uncultured bacterium. RNAcentral's name for it is "bacterial SSU rRNA". It matches the Rfam family "Bacterial small subunit ribosomal RNA", at positions 355 to 764 of the family's 1533-position model. The record is from RNAcentral.